RNAcentral lists this ribosomal RNA (292 nucleotides) under uncultured bacterium. RNAcentral describes it as "partial 16S ribosomal RNA". It matches the Rfam family "Bacterial small subunit ribosomal RNA", at positions 505 to 796 of the family's 1533-position model. The record is from RNAcentral.
GUGCCAGCCGCCGCGGUAAUACGGAGGGUGCAAACGUUGCUCGGAAUCAUUGGGCGUAAAGCGAACGUAGGCGGCUAUGUAAGUCGGGUGUGAAAGCCCUCGGCUCAACCGAGGAAGUGCAUUCGAAACUGCAUGGCUUGAGUAGCGGAGAGGAUAGCGGAAUUCCCGGUGUAGAGGUGAAAUUCGUAGAUAUCGGGAGGAACACCAGUGGCGAAGGCGGCUAUCUGGACGCAUACUGACGCUGAAGUUCGAAAGCGUGGGGAGCAAACAGGAUUAGAUACCCCCGUAGUCC